CCCCGUGGCCACCGCGCUCCCCUGCGAGCAGCAGCGCCCGCCUCCCCCGACCCGUGUCCGCAUCCCCGGGGGAGCCCCGCCGGACGAGCGGGGCUGCGGCGCCGCGGCCGGGAGCAGCCGCUCCUCUGCCCUCGUCCCACACAGCACAGGGGCACAAAAGGGGAAAGGCUCCAGAAAACACUUCUGCAAUUCCUCAGCAAUUUUUUAAAUUCCCCAGGGAGAAGAACAUGAACUCACAGCCAUCGAGGCCUGACGGGUUCCUGCAGCGAGAGCUCGGCACGUGUCCGCAGAGAGCCAUGUUCUGGAGAUAUUACAAAGUGCUGCCCAUGCCACCAGAACUGCCUAUGAGCUGAGAGAGGAUCACAGCCUCUUCUUGUGGGUCCCGCCCAGCUUGGAGAAAAGGAGACGAGAGAGAAAACAAGAAUCAAUCCCAGGAGAAUAGGAAACUUCUUCCUAUUGAAGUUCUGUUUUGGUCACGUUAAUCAAACAUAUUCGGACUAAUGUAGAUCUGGCCAAGCUGAGUGAGUUGUUCAGCACCUUCAGCUCUGUGCUGCAAUACCGUGCUGUUGUUGUGGAGGCUUUUGGGGAGAUGAGGCAUUUCACAGUCGAUGACAGCGUCCUCUCCAGCAGGGAGCUGCUGCUGCUGCAGAAGUGGAGCCUUGUCAGCACAGAGCUGCAGCUGCAGGAGGACCUGCAGGCCCUGGCUCAGAAGGGCCAAAACAAAGAAUUGCUCAGUAAGUGCUGAAAUACUUCAAGUAAAGCGUAUUUUGUUGUAGCUGUUGCAGGCCAGCAGUUCAAAUGAGGCAAACUUCUCUGGAAGUAGUACUAACACCUUCUGCCUGACUGAUGUACCUUGGGGGAGGAGGAAAGGAAAUGGAAAGGCAUUUUUCAGAUCUUCCUUGUGGUGAUUUUGAACCUUACCACACUAUGUAUUUGUAUUUUGGGUAUUCAAUACUUGUAUGGAUAAAAAGACUCUGUAAUCACCUGGAAGCUGCAGUGUGUAUUUGGGAGUGAUCCCGCACACAAUAAACACACACUUUCUAACUUUAAACUCUUAGAGAGUUUUUGUCCAUCACAGUUGGAUAUAGGUACUAGAUCAAUCUCCAUAUUUUUUUAAUAAAUCAGAAGCUACUGUGCUUUAGGAAAGUUACGGCCUUUUGCAUUUCUGGAAUUUGGUGGGAUGAAUCCCAUGACUGGAGUGUCACUACUGAGAGCUACAGCCUGGUCAGAAGAUACAGGGGAGGAAGGAGAGAUGGAGGGAUUGCCCUCUACAUCAAGAAGUGGAUUCCACGUGAGGAGCUGUGUUUGCAGAACAGCCAUGAGCAAGUCAAAAGCCUGUAGGUAAGAAUCAGUGACCAAGGCAGCCAAGGAGCCCUGUGGAUAGUAUCUACUACAGGCUGCCUGAAAAAGGGGAUCCUGCUGACAAAGGCUUCUUUCUAAAGCUACAGGAAGCAUUGUGCUCGUUGGCUUUCGUCCUGCUGGAGGGCUUCAACCACUGCGCAGUGCAGAUCCUUUCUUGACAGGUGACUGAAACAGAGUUCCAGUGACCUUCUCAGUUAAGGUCUGUCACAUGCAAAGAAAUGCUGCUUUUGGCAUCACUAGAAAUUAAUGCCAGCUGUAGAUAUGACAAAACCACAAGUGUCUUGCCCACUGAAAAUUUUGAAAGAAAGCUGACUGUCUUCAGCAAGAUUUAGGAUCAAAUGCAAAGAGCCACAUAUCUCUUACCUGAUUAAUUUCAUAGCCACGAUUUUGUGUCUUUUGGCUCUUCACAUGGAUAGUCUUAAGCCGUACUUUGUCAUCAUUUGGUCAGCUCAUGAGGUUUUUUAGUUUUAAAAAAGGCAGAGAAACUGCAACUAUCUAUCUUUGAGUAGAGGAGCACAUACAAAAUGUCAGGGUGAAAGAUUACUCAUAUCAGCAAGGACAAGGCAGGUAUUGAAGGAGACUGUUGAAGGAGAGGUAAAAUCUUAAAUGCUAAAACUGAAGACAGAGCAUCACUAAGUCAAAUAAAAGAUUUGUCUAUUUGCUUUUAAACUGAUACAAAGCAAGAUGAAGUACAUUAUUAAAACUACUUCAAAUCUAGUAAAAAAUCUGCUGAGGUGUGCAUUAAGACAAAGGUGGAAGUUUACAAGUUACAAAUGCUUAAGACACUUCUUGCUAGGGAUAGAUAGCAUUGCAUCAGGCAGUUUGCUAUUCCAACCAUUCUUGAAAGAUUUGCAUCUCAAAAAGAUAUGGCAUAUGAAUUCUUAAAUUAGACCAAUAAUGACACACACCCAAAAAAGAAAAACAUUCUCUCUUCUCCCUUUCUUUUCUGCUUUCUUGUCAUAGAGUGUGACUAAGGAGAAACUGAAAGAAUCCACGAGUGACAGAGCUGAUUCCAAUCAAUCCUCCCUGAUGGAGUGAUCAAAGGCCAACUGUAGUGGACAAAAUAGGGCUUUACCCUCUGAAGUAUAUUUCAUCCUGUUGAGAUCAGCACAAACACAAGGGAUGAAACUGAUGUCCCACGGCUGCCAUCCAAGCUAUGACACUGUAACUCAGUACCACCUGCAAAUUUUUUUUCUUGAAUCCUUAAAGUAAUGAUUCUCUCCAUCUGCAUCCCUUAAAAUCCAAUUCUGUCAGCUUUUCAGUGUUCAAAAAUGAACUAGUUAAGAUAGCACUGAGGAAAAAAAGAACAAAAUAAACAUAUUUUAUUGUGUAAGUAGAUUUGAGAUGGAAUUACUUAAAGGUAAGUACACAUGGACCCCCCCGACAGAGUUCUCUUUUUUCAGUUGCACUUAAGGAUUGUACUUCAAAUAUGGUUACACAGAUAUCUUCCCCCCCUCCAUGUUGACUGCCUCUUAAUAUUAGAACCUAAUCUGCCACAAAAUUGCAUGAAAUAAAACAGUGAGAAAUAUACUUGAGAAUGACUGUUGUUUACAAAAAAGGUAAUUUAUAGUAUACAAUUACUGAUAAGGUAGAACAAGAGUUCAAAAACUGGACUGCAUUACAAAGCACUUCUUCAAACAUCAAUUUUUUAUUAUUGCUGUAAGGUACUAACUGGUCUGUUCUAGACUAAUUUACAGACAUUCAGAAAAUAGUGAAAAAUGCAUGCUUUAGAAACCUGGGACAUUUCAUGCCUUUGUGCUAGCAGAACAUGAAAAUGGAAGUGAUUGGCAUUUUUCAAUGUAGGUUAGUAGCAUUUAGAGUUUUUAUUCUGCUGUACUAACUGAUUCUUGAUAUUUUUUCUCAUUUUUUUCAGGUGAUUUUUCAUCUUCAGGUUUCGUCCAUGGAGGGCUUUGAAACUUCUGCAAAGGUCAAAACAUGGUGUAUAGAAUACAUAUAAGCAGAAAUAAAAAUUGUGUUAGAAUUCCA
Lonchura striata (white-rumped munia) is the source of this 3348-nucleotide non-coding RNA. The record is from RefSeq and is a predicted model, not a curated record. NCBI's taxonomy places the organism in Eukaryota, Metazoa, Chordata, Aves, Passeriformes, Estrildidae.